GUACCUGGGCGUUAUCUCCGAACCUGCUCAAUUGUUAACCAGAGUCAACACAAUUUCCCCCCUCAGGCAGGCUCCCAGUGCUUUUGGUUUUUGUGUCAAACUAACCUUCAUGCAGUCGGACUAAAUAUGCAGCCAAAAUAAUAAAAGAGCUCCGAAAAGAAUAAAGAAGAAAAAAAAUAAAAUAAAGUCAAUUAGUCCGGAUUGAGGAAGUUGUGGGUGAGUAAUGGGUUAACGGCGGAAGGCCUCGCCUCACCUUUAUUGCGCGUCACCCAGCUCUGUAAAGUGGUCUCACCAUCCCAGCAUCCGAACCGAAGGGGGAAAAUCACCGCCCCUUGCUGCCGCCAGACGCGCCUCUUCCUCUCGGUCGAGCUCACGUCUACCCAUCGGUCUCCGCCCCGCCGCUCCAUCACCGUCACAUACACCCAGAAGACAACGGGAACUGAGGGAAUAACGACAAUUUACCGGCGAAACGGGGAAUCAUGAAGGACCGCAUGCAAGAACUUAAACAUGGGAAGGAGACGACUGAGGAGGAAGAUGAAGUCGCUGUUGGGAUGGAGAAAGGCUUUAUGGACGAAUUCUUUGAACAGGUGGAAGAGAUCCGGGGUUUUAUCGAAUCGCUGGCAGAGAAAGUUGAAGAGGUGAAGAGGAAGCACAGCGCCAUCCUUGCCUCACCCAACCCAGAUGAGAAAACUAAAGCUGAACUUGAGGAUCUUAUGGCAGACAUCAAGAAGUUGGCCAAUAAAGUACGCUCCAAGUUAAAGAGUAUCCAACAAACCAUUGAGCAAGAGGAGGGGCAGAACAGGUCAUCGGCCGACCUGAGGAUACGUAAAACACAGCACUCCACACUGUCCCGUAAAUUUGUCGAGGUGAUGUCAGAAUACAACACCACUCAGUCGGACUACAGGGAGCGCUGCAAGGGACGCAUUCAGAGACAGCUGGAGAUUACUGGAAGAAACACAACAAACGAGGAGCUGGAGAGCAUGUUGGAAAGUGACAACCCAGCCAUCUUCACCUCGGGGAUAAUUAUGGACAACAUCACCCAGCAAGCAAUGAAUGAGAUCGAGACGCGGCACAAUGAGAUUAUCAAGCUGGAAAACAGUAUCAGGGAGCUUCACGACAUGUUCAUGGACAUGGCCAUGCUGGUGGAAAGCCAGCUCUGGAGAACACAGAACGUUGUUCCCCUUCUAACACAGCAAGGGCAACCUCGUGAACAACAUUGAGCACUGUGUUAUGGAGGCCCAGGAUUAUGUGGAGCAGGGAAAGGACAACAUCCCAAAAUGCAAAAAGUUCAAAAAGACCAACAGACGGAAGGUGAUCCUGAUAGGAGUUUGUGUUGCGAUUUGUAUCACCAUCCUCAUUAUUUCGCUCGCAGUGGGACUCAGUUAGGAGCCUAAAAAAUCAUCACAUGGCAGACAGGACAGUCAUUAUGAGUGACAUGAAUGCCAAAAAAACACACACAACUGUUCAUGUGUUAAAUGUACUGUAUGGUGGCCUCUGCAAUGUGUGCAGUGAGCACUGCUUGUGAACUGGGAAGCAAGUCAUUGCAUUACUGGUCUGAGGUCUGUGCAGCAAGCUAUGAACACUCAAAUAUAAUCUGCAUCAACUUUUAUUCUUAAUGUGUGCUUCAGCUCCAGGAACGGUUUGUGCUUGGCCUGUUUGAGUUGCAAAGCUUUGUCAUGUGCAUGUUUCUCUCUGUUGUCCCACAAACACAAAAUGAAGAUGAUUGCAUUAUUACUAAAAUGGUCAUCAAAAUAAGCUUAUUACCAAUUAGUUUUAACAAUGAUGUAUUACUAAAGGUAAAACAAAAUAGUUAAACAUUUUGGGAAAUCCACUUUUGAGUCAGGUUGGUCAAAUCUGUGCCUUAGAGAUUUUAUCGUUUCGCAGCCAUAGUGACUUUAUGGAGGAGUGAUCAGGAAUUACAGCAAUCUCCAAAAAUGUAUUCUCCCUUCCAGGCUUUCAUCUGUAGUGUUUAUGCUUCUGUGCAAUUUCUGCUUUUGGAAAAGUCUAACAAAUAUAAAACAAUUGACUUGUGGUGAUGUGUUAACAGCUGGGUGGAUGUUUUCUUUUUUGUUUAGUUUUUUUUUAAUAAUUGUGAUUUUUUUUUAAUCAUGAUUUUUAAGAUACUGCAACAAUGUAGAGAUUUUAUUUCCUUCUCACCCGAUACAUCCACGAUAUAUCGAUGAAUCUGAAAUGACCAGGUAAAUUAAAUAAGCUAUUAAUAGUUUAUGAGUGAAAUUAGGAUUUAUAACACACAAACAAAUGUAAGUUUAUAGUUGCACAUUUAAAAGUUUAGUCAGUUACUUUACAGAGCUUAAAAUGAGGUAAAAAGAACCUCAGAUGAAUAACAACACAUGACAUAUGUGUCAUUAUUUAUUCUUUAAAAAUCCAAAAUGCAGAACCAGUGUGUGAAAGACUAAGUACAUUCUUAAUACUUUCAGAGGAAUUAAAAGGGUAAGUAGCAGCCACGUGCUGCUAAUCUAAUGCAUUUGAUAGUGGAGAAGGGUUCUUGUUAAGGUCCAUGCCUCAACGAGAACCAUCCCUGUGUACUGCUCUGUCCCUCAUCCUUCUCUGUUGUUGGGAACGAGUCUUGGGUCGCCAGGUUCUCUGUUAACGCUGUGCCUUUGACGUGUCCUUUCAGAGCGUCGGGGCACUUUUCUCCCUGAAGCUCAGAGAUCAAGAUAUUUUCAUGUCUCCGAAACAGGUCUUUGAGCAGAAGGAUGACCAGUUUGAGGGCCUAGCACCGAAGGCGCUAACCCUAACCCCCCUAACCCUAUAGCAUAUCAAACACCUCAUGAUGAUUUGGGUUGUGCAACCACAGAAGCUGGGCACCUUACAGUCACUGACAAUGAUCCCAAGCAUGGCAGCAAAACGACAACAGAAUGGCUGAAAAAGAAAAGAAUCAAGGUGUUUCAAUGGCCAAGUUAAAGUCCAGACUUCAACUAGAUUGAAAUGCUCUGGUGGAAUAGCUGUGCUUCAUUAAAUGCGCAUAAAUCUCAACAAGCUGAAGCAAUGUUAAGAAGAGUAAGCCAAAAAAAAAAACCAUUAAUAUAAAAUGCUGAGAAAUAUGUACAGAAAAUGAUUAUUUCAAGUUAUUGCUGUUGGAGUUGGUUCUACGAACUACUGAAUCAUGUUGUUUACUUAGCUUUUCACACACUGCUUCUGCACUUUGCCUUUUUUUUAAACAAAUAAUGUCACAUGUUUUGGUUUAUUGAGUAAAUUAAAAUUGAAUGAACUAA
This is an RNA transcript of Haplochromis burtoni (Burton's mouthbrooder), 3236 nucleotides long. It is a transcript of the gene named syntaxin-1A, with no coding region annotated. Lineage: Eukaryota; Metazoa; Chordata; Actinopteri; Cichliformes; Cichlidae. The transcript is spliced from 11 exons. The record is from RefSeq and is a predicted model, not a curated record.